Molecule: transfer-messenger RNA, 350 nt
Filed under: Ruegeria marisrubri
Lineage: Bacteria; Pseudomonadati; Pseudomonadota; Alphaproteobacteria; Rhodobacterales; Roseobacteraceae
Description: Ruegeria sp. ZGT118 Alphaproteobacteria transfer-messenger RNA
Rfam family: Alphaproteobacteria transfer-messenger RNA
About the family: Bacterial tmRNA, also known as 10Sa RNA or SsrA, is named for its dual tRNA and mRNA-like properties. Its role is to liberate the mRNA from a stalled ribosome.
Source: Rfam by way of RNAcentral
CCGCUUGCAAUGGCCACAGGCGCUUACUAUAUUUCGAUCGUUCGCAAGAACUAUGGACAUAAACGCGCUCGUAAUAAGCGGAUCGGACCCGGGGGCGGUACCCGGCGGCUCCACCAAAAUCCCAUCAUUGGCGGGACAGCGGGGCCGAAACAGGAUCGACGAACGUGUAAAGGGGUUUGCUUUGUCCCGGUGAGGUACCACCGUUAUCGGUCCGUAAAGCAUAAUUGCCAAUGACAAUCGUGCUCCGGUUGCAGUUGCUGCGUAAGCGGUAACAAGACCGAAAACUUAAGCCCUUGCGCCUAGCCGCGUAAGGCGGGGUUCGCAGGUACCUGGCAACAGAAACCUGCAUU